Molecule: ribosomal RNA, 2774 nt
Filed under: Enterobacter cloacae
Lineage: Bacteria; Pseudomonadati; Pseudomonadota; Gammaproteobacteria; Enterobacterales; Enterobacteriaceae
Also listed under: 2 other names
Description: bacterial LSU rRNA
Rfam family: Bacterial large subunit ribosomal RNA
Source: RNAcentral
AGCGUACACGGUGGAUGCCCUGGCAGUCAGAGGCGAUGAAGGACGUGCUAAUCUGCGAAAAGCGCCGGCGAGGUGAUAUGAACCCUUGACCCGGCGAUGUCCGAAUGGGGAAACCCAGUGUGAUUCGUCACACUAUCGUUAACUGAAUACAUAGGUUAACGAGGCGAACCGGGGGAACUGAAACAUCUAAGUACCCCGAGGAAAAGAAAUCAACCGAGAUUCCCCCAGUAGCGGCGAGCGAACGGGGAGCAGCCCGGAGUCUGAAUCAGCUUGUGUGUUAGUGGAACGGUCUGGAAAGUCCGACGGUACAGGGUGAUAGUCCCGUACACGAAAGCACACUUGCUGUGAACUCGAAGAGUAGGGCGGGACACGUGGUAUCCUGUCUGAAUAUGGGGGGACCAUCCUCCAAGGCUAAAUACUCCUGACUGACCGAUAGUGAACCAGUACCGUGAGGGAAAGGCGAAAAGAACCCCGGCGAGGGGAGUGAAAAAGAACCUGAAACCGUGUACGUACAAGCAGUGGGAGCACCUUCGUGGUGUGACUGCGUACCUUUUGUAUAAUGGGUCAGCGACUUAUAUUCUGUAGCAAGGUUAACCGUAUAGGGGAGCCGAAGGGAAACCGAGUCUUAACUGGGCGUUAAGUUGCAGGGUAUAGACCCGAAACCCGGUGAUCUAGCCAUGGGCAGGUUGAAGGUUGGGUAACACUAACUGGAGGACCGAACCGACUAAUGUUGAAAAAUUAGCGGAUGACCUGUGGCUGGGGGUGAAAGGCCAAUCAAACCGGGAGAUAGCUGGUUCUCCCCGAAAGCUAUUUAGGUAGCGCCUCGUGAACUCAUCUUCGGGGGUAGAGCACUGUUUCGGCUAGGGGGCCAUCCCGGCUUACCAACCCGAUGCAAACUACGAAUACCGAAGAAUGUUAUCACGGGAGACACACGGCGGGUGCUAACGUCCGUCGUGAAGAGGGAAACAACCCAGACCGCCAGCUAAGGUCCCAAAGUCAUGGUUAAGUGGGAAACGAUGUGGGAAGGCACAGACAGCCAGGAUGUUGGCUUAGAAGCAGCCAUCAUUUAAAGAAAGCGUAAUAGCUCACUGGUCGAGUCGGCCUGCGCGGAAGAUGUAACGGGGCUAAACCAUGCACCGAAGCUGCGGCAGCGACACUAUGUGUUGUUGGGUAGGGGAGCGUUCUGUAAGCCGUUGAAGGUGUGCUGUGAGGCAUGCUGGAGGUAUCAGAAGUGCGAAUGCUGACAUAAGUAACGAUAAAGCGGGUGAAAAGCCCGCUCGCCGGAAGACCAAGGGUUCCUGUCCAACGUUAAUCGGGGCAGGGUGAGUCGACCCCUAAGGCGAGGCCGAAAGGCGUAGUCGAUGGGAAACAGGUUAAUAUUCCUGUACUUGGUGUUACUGCGAAGGGGGGACGGAGAAGGCUAUGUCAGCCGGGCGACGGUUGUCCCGGUUUAAGCAUGUAGGCGGAGGUUCCAGGUAAAUCCGGUACCUUAUUAACGCUGAGGUGUGAUGACGAGGCACUACGGUGCUGAAGUGAUAAAUGCCCUGCUUCCAGGAAAAGCCUCUAAGCAUCAGGUAACACGAAAUCGUACCCCAAACCGACACAGGUGGUCAGGUAGAGAAUACCAAGGCGCUUGAGAGAACUCGGGUGAAGGAACUAGGCAAAAUGGUGCCGUAACUUCGGGAGAAGGCACGCUGAUGUGUAGGUGAAGUCCCUGCGGACGGAGCUGAAAUCAGUCGAAGAUACCAGCUGGCUGCAACUGUUUAUUAAAAACACAGCACUGUGCAAACACGAAAGUGGACGUAUACGGUGUGACGCCUGCCCGGUGCCGGAAGGUUAAUUGAUGGGGUUAGCUGUAAGGCGAAGCUCUUGAUCGAAGCCCCGGUAAACGGCGGCCGUAACUAUAACGGUCCUAAGGUAGCGAAAUUCCUUGUCGGGUAAGUUCCGACCUGCACGAAUGGCGUAAUGAUGGCCAGGCUGUCUCCACCCGAGACUCAGUGAAAUUGAACUCGCUGUGAAGAUGCAGUGUACCCGCGGCAAGACGGAAAGACCCCGUGAACCUUUACUAUAGCUUGACACUGAACACUGGUCCUUGAUGUGUAGGAUAGGUGGGAGGCUUUGAAGCGUGGACGCCAGUCUGCGUGGAGCCGCCCUUGAAAUACCACCCUUUAAUGGCUGGUGUUCUAACGUAGACCCGUAAUCCGGGUUGCGGACAGUGUCUGGUGGGUAGUUUGACUGGGGCGGUCUCCUCCCAAAGAGUAACGGAGGAGCACGAAGGUUGGCUAAUCCUGGUCGGACAUCAGGAGGUUAGUGCAAUGGCAUAAGCCAGCUUGACUGCGAGCGUGACGGCGCGAGCAGGUGCGAAAGCAGGUCAUAGUGAUCCGGUGGUUCUGAAUGGAAGGGCCAUCGCUCAACGGAUAAAAGGUACUCCGGGGAUAACAGGCUGAUACCGCCCAAGAGUUCAUAUCGACGGCGGUGUUUGGCACCUCGAUGUCGGCUCAUCACAUCCUGGGGCUGAAGUAGGUCCCAAGGGUAUGGCUGUUCGCCAUUUAAAGUGGUACGCGAGCUGGGUUUAGAACGUCGUGAGACAGUUCGGUCCCUAUCUGCCGUGGGCGCUGGAGAAUUGAGGGGGGCUGCUCCUAGUACGAGAGGACCGGAGUGGACGCAUCACUGGUGUUCGGGUUGUCAUGCCAAUGGCACUGCCCGGUAGCUAAAUGCGGAAGAGAUAAGUGCUGAAAGCAUCUAAGCACGAAACUUGCCCCGAGAUGAGUUCU